CUGAACAAGAAUUUACAUGUUUUCCAGCCUUUUGAGAAGUAGUACACUUUAUGAAAGAUUUUCUUCUGCUGUGAUUGACAAAUGUUCUUUUUCAGUAGAGUGAGAAAAAAUUACCUUUAAGGCCAGAGGGAAUCAUUUAAUAAGUGCUUAAGGGCAAGAGAUGAAGAUGAGAUGUUUGCUACAGAAGAAACAGGUUAUUCCUGCUGUAUGGAAGAGAUGGACAUCUCUGGUUACAUGGGAAUCUUUUUCAUCUCUUACACUCUGACUAAAUGAUGGGAACAGAACGGGUUUACAGUUACUUGUGAAGAG
RNAcentral lists this long non-coding RNA (309 nucleotides) under Zonotrichia albicollis (white-throated sparrow). Its description in RNAcentral is "lncRNA (ENSZALG00000015785.1)". The record is from RNAcentral. Lineage: Eukaryota; Metazoa; Chordata; Aves; Passeriformes; Passerellidae.